This is a long non-coding RNA of Prunus dulcis (almond), 794 nucleotides long. RefSeq lists it as uncharacterized. The record is from RefSeq and is a predicted model, not a curated record. The transcript is spliced from 4 exons. Lineage: Eukaryota; Viridiplantae; Streptophyta; Magnoliopsida; Rosales; Rosaceae.
GCGUCUCCUACUGCACAAGUAAAUGUACAAAGAAAAUCCAGUGAGAAGCAAAUUUUCUAAAAAAGAAACAGUGAAAGGAAAGAAGAAGAAAAAAUAAGUACAUUUAUCUUUAUCUUAUCAGAGCUUUGGCUUCUUCGAGAAGAAGGGGUUCAUAAUCUUGAAGGAAAGAGGAGAAACUACUGUUGAUUUUUCGCGGACGAAAAAGUCCCAACUAAGAACAAUCUUGCAGAAGCGGGCAAUGGAAGCGUCUUCUUCAAGCUUGUCUUUGUCCACAGCCAUUGAGAGACACAGAGUGACUGAAACAGAGUUUUCAAAUUCUCAGUGAGAAAGGAUACACAAGAUUUUUGGCCAAAGGUAUUUAACUGAUAACAGCUGCCUCAUCACACUUGUCUCUGGCCUUCAUCCUUUCUCAGAGAUUUGGACUUGGAUUGUCACCUGGUGUGGUGGUGAUUAUGGAUCAAUCUCACUCAGUGCCAGUGGUGCCUUUCCAGCAACAAAUCGUAAGAAAGCUUCUCCUAAUCAGGCUCUACUGUCAGGAGCUCCUCAAACAUGGCAUUUCUUGCUUCUGGUUCAGGCCGAGGCAUAAGUUCUAAUUUUUCAUGAGAACACGAUUAAUCAACAUACACAGGUGAUAUUAGUGAGGAGAAUCAAACUUAUGAUCUUGGGUGCAUAGACGAAUGUUCUUAACCACUCGAGCUACUUGCGGAUGCUCAAUAUACUUGAUCAUGUAAAAAAAACUGCAGAUAGAUGAGAAUGCAAACAAGGGCCAAAGUCCUUGUUCCAUAUCUAUACCA